UAUAUCUUCUCCAUAUCAGAGUUGUAGUCUUCAAUAUCUGAUAUGUUUGCCGAGUACAGAGACCAUGAGAAAGACUUACUUCCACUGGCCCUUUUUAUGCGUCUCUGGGAAUCUUUAAAAACUCCAAAAUGUUGGCGGAAAACAAAGUAGCCCAUACUUGCAAGUGUCCCAACAAGAAUUGGUGCCCCCAUUAAGGUUAUUGUUAUAGCCAUCCACGAACUGCCUUUUCCCACUAUCACAAAAGCUACAGAAAGAAAAGACCCACACGUGCAAGCACAGGCAGCCCACAUCAGUUUGUUAACAACUGAUACAACCUGUUUCUGAGCUGUAGUGUCCCACGCCACCAAUGUGAUCUGGACCACGACAACGGCUAGAGAUAUGAAUAGAGA
RNAcentral lists this unclassified non-coding RNA (389 nucleotides) under Hevea brasiliensis (rubber tree). Lineage: Eukaryota; Viridiplantae; Streptophyta; Magnoliopsida; Malpighiales; Euphorbiaceae. The record is from RNAcentral.